This 447-nucleotide ribosomal RNA is filed under the name uncultured bacterium. RNAcentral describes it as "bacterial SSU rRNA". It matches the Rfam family "Bacterial small subunit ribosomal RNA", at positions 62 to 543 of the family's 1533-position model. The record is from RNAcentral.
UCGAACGAGAAAGCCCGCAAGGGUGAGUAAAGUGGCGUACGGGUGAGUAACACGUGGGUAAUCUACCUUUUGGUGGGGAAUAACCCUGGGAAACCGGGGCUAAUACCGCAUAAGCUCGAGAGAGGAAAGGAGCAAUUCGCCGAAAGAGGAGCCCGCGGCUGAUUAGCUAGUUGGUGAGGUAAAGGCUCACCAAGGCAAUGAUCGGUAGCCGGCCUGAGAGGGCACACGGCCACACUGGCACUGAAACACGGGCCAGACUCCUACGGGAGGCAGCAGUGGGGAAUCUUGCACAAUGGGGGAAACCCUGAUGCAGCGACGCCGCGUGAGUGAUGAAGCCCUUCGGGGUGUAAAGCUCUUUCGGCAGGGACGAUAAUGACGGUACCUGAAGAAGAAGCUGCGGCUAACUACGUGCCAGCAGCCGCGGUAAUACGUAGGCAGCGAGCGUUG